RNAcentral lists this ribosomal RNA (510 nucleotides) under uncultured bacterium. Its description in RNAcentral is "partial 16S ribosomal RNA". It matches the Rfam family "Bacterial small subunit ribosomal RNA", at positions 28 to 507 of the family's 1533-position model. The record is from RNAcentral.
GACGAACGCUGGCGGCGUGCUUAACACAUGCAAGUCGAACGAAGAGCGAUGGAAGCUUGCUUCUAUCAAUCUUAGUGGCGAACGGGUGAGUAACGCGUAAUCAACCUGCCCUUCAGAGGGGGACAACAGUUGGAAACGACUGCUAAUACCGCAUACGAUCUAAUCUCGGCAUCGAGGAUAGAUGAAAGGUGGCCUCUACAUGUAAGCUAUCACUGAAGGAGGGGAUUGCGUCUGAUUAGCUAGUUGGAGGGGUAACGGCCCACCAAGGCGAUGAUCAGUAGCCGGUCUGAGAGGAUGAACGGCCACAUUGGGACUGAGACACGGCCCAGACUCCUACGGGAGGCAGCAGUGGGGAAUCUUCCGCAAUAGACGAAAGUCUGACGGAGCAACGCCGCGUGAGUGAUGACGGCCUUCGGGUUGUAAAGCUCUGUUAAUCGGGACGAAAGGCCUUCUUGCGAAUAGUGAGAAGGAUUGACGGUACCGGAAUAGAAAGCCACGGCUAACUACGUG